This is a long non-coding RNA of Hippocampus comes (tiger tail seahorse), 106 nucleotides long. RefSeq lists it as uncharacterized. The transcript is spliced from 3 exons. The record is from RefSeq and is a predicted model, not a curated record. NCBI's taxonomy places the organism in Eukaryota, Metazoa, Chordata, Actinopteri, Syngnathiformes, Syngnathidae.
AAAUAACUUUGCAAAACUUACCGGAUUUGUGCUCAUUUCUAUUUUCCUUAAUGUGUCAGUCCUCAACAAUAUUUUUCGAUCAGGGUGUCUUAAAUAUCCAAAAUAU